AGGGGUGUAGCUCAGUGGUAGGUUGCCUGCUUAGCAUGCACAAGGCCUUGGGUUCAAUCCCCAGUACCUCCA
This 72-nucleotide transfer RNA is filed under the name Camelus bactrianus (Bactrian camel). It matches the Rfam family "tRNA". Rfam says of the family: Transfer RNA (tRNA) molecules are approximately 80 nucleotides in length. The record is from Rfam by way of RNAcentral. RNAcentral also lists the same sequence under 1 other name. Lineage: Eukaryota; Metazoa; Chordata; Mammalia; Artiodactyla; Camelidae.